This 253-nucleotide ribosomal RNA is filed under the name uncultured bacterium. RNAcentral's name for it is "partial 16S ribosomal RNA". It matches the Rfam family "Bacterial small subunit ribosomal RNA", at positions 524 to 776 of the family's 1533-position model. The record is from RNAcentral.
GACGAAGGUGGCGAGCGUUGUUCGGAAUCACUGGGCAUAAAGCGCACGUAGGCGGCUAAGUACGUCGGAUGUGAAAUACCUCGGCUCAACCGAGGAACUGCGUCCGAUACUGCUUGGCUUGAGGUCCGGAGGGGAGAGUGGAAUUCCCGGUGGAGCGGUGAAAUGCGUAGAGAUCGGGAAGAACGCCGGCGGCGAAAGCGACUCUCUGGUCGGAAUCUGACGCUGAGGUGCGAAAGCUAGGGGAGCAAACGGG